AAGCAGCCAUGCAAAUGGAGUAUCGGAUAUAUCGGAUACGGACAGAUUGCAAGUUACAGCUGAAGGCAGUAUGACAGCUUUAUUGCUGCUGCAUGAGCAACACUAUCUUUGAUUGGAAAACAGGCUGAGGACUUGCAUAAAGUCAAAUGGGGCCUGUGGGUGUUUGGGAAGGCCAGCUAUCAAACAGUUCCCUAUUAUCAUACACUGUGGGAAGGAGUUCUCAUCUUCAUACCCCUGCUCCAGAGAGGUUCACCCUUCAGGACAAUAGGGUGGCCUCAGGAGAAGGACCUCAGUUGGACACAGUGAAAUCCUGCAUUUGCAAUAGCCAUGGAGCCCCUUGUUGGAACAGAUAUAAGAAUCAGUCAUGUCUUUGUCUUGGAGCUCGGCACCUCUUCUGGAGGAGUCCCCUGAUGUGAGAGGGAGACGGCUGAAUACAUAGUGUGAGAACCAUAUGGAUGGGAAGAAGUAACCUAGACCCAAGAUGCAAGUUGAAGGAUUACAAGACAGGAGGCCAAACACCGAAACAGCAUCUGACAAAAGCCUUCUUGAUAUGCAUCGAAUCCUGACCUGGGAUGGAAAGCAAUCUUUGUGAACAUUUUUACAGAAUGAUGUGUAAUAGAUCCAGCAAAGGCUGAAGGCUGGUAAUAGUGACUGAUGUAGUACCAUGGAGAAAAGAAAUCUGAACACUGCUCUCCACGGAGGCUGAGUGAGGAGGGAGGUAGAUAUUGGCAUGCAUAAACCCUUUCAAGACGUCUGCUGAAAUGACCCAUAGGAGCUUGAUGGGCACUGCUGUCUGUGUGCAGACUGCAUGAGGAGGGGAAUUCGCAAACUUAGCUUCUUAAACCAUAACCUUCCACACAGGCAGCUCAAGUAGGUCACUUACUGAGGGGAGCCAGGAAAUGCACAUGCGUGUCUGAUACAAAUCUGUUAGCCUGUCUAGUAACCGGGAGUGGCCAACAGACGUGCAUCCUGGUUUGUCAGAUGUAUUCAUACAUUUUCUGAGAUGUUACAGAUAGAGAGUGAAUAUCAGGGCUUAGAAUCUGACCUUAAAAAGUAGAUGUCUUCUAAGAUUGUAUUCAACUUCCUUGUGAUAAGAAUUAGCUUUCCAUCUUAAUCAGCAUUUGUGACUUGAUUCAGCAAAGCACUGAAAUGUGCUUAAGGCAGUCUCUAUUCAGCAAAACUUUUAACUUUGAAUACAUGCUCCAGGAAUAGAGAUUAAAAUUAAAAGUUGGUUUAUGUGCUUAUCAAAACUAGGUUUCAGCUUUGGGGAAAUCAGUCGUGAUCACUUGGUUCAUAGUGCAAAAUUUCUCUAUUUUUACUGAGGAGGGGACUGGCACAAAAGGUGUCAUUGGAAACCUUGUGAAUUGUUAGCAGGAGAUUUUAGAACCCUUUUUUAAAUAACUAGGGAUACAAGUAGGUAUAAAUUAAGCAAAAGUAUUAGUUUUUAACAUUUGGAUAUAUAAAAAGACUUUUUUUUGAAAGACUAAUAUUUC
Oxyura jamaicensis (ruddy duck) is the source of this 1493-nucleotide long non-coding RNA. RefSeq lists it as uncharacterized. The record is from RefSeq and is a predicted model, not a curated record. The transcript has 7 exons. Lineage: Eukaryota; Metazoa; Chordata; Aves; Anseriformes; Anatidae.